Molecule: ribosomal RNA, 467 nt
Filed under: uncultured bacterium
Lineage: Bacteria
Description: partial 16S ribosomal RNA
Rfam family: Bacterial small subunit ribosomal RNA
Source: RNAcentral
GAUGAACGCUGACAGAAUGCUUAACACAUGCAAGUCAACUUGAAUUUGGGUUUUUAACUUAGGUUUGGGUGGCGGACGGGUGAGUAACGCGUAAAGAACUUGCCUCACAGCUAGGGACAACAUUUGGAAACGAAUGCUAAUACCUAAUAUUAUGAUAAUAGGGCAUCCUAUAAUUAUGAAAGCUAUAAGCGCUGUGAGAGAGCUUUGCGUCCCAUUAGCUAGUUGGAGAGGUAACGGCUCACCAAGGCGAUGAUGGGUAGCCGGCCUGAGAGGGUGAUCGGCAAAAAGGGGACUGAGACACGGCCCUUACCCCUACGGGAGGCAGCAGUGGGGAAUAUUGGACAAUGGACCGAGAGUCUGAUCCAGCAAUUCUGUGUGCACGAUGAAGUUUUUCGGAAUGUAAAGUGCUUUCAGUUGGGAAGAAACAAAUGACGGUACCAACAGAAGAAGUGACGGCUAAAUACGUG